Bradysia coprophila is the source of this 336-nucleotide long non-coding RNA. NCBI's taxonomy places the organism in Eukaryota, Metazoa, Arthropoda, Insecta, Diptera, Sciaridae. The record is from RefSeq and is a predicted model, not a curated record.
UGCUCACGCUCCGGUGAACCGAAUUUCAUAAACUUUUUUUUCCCUGAUUGAUACGGUCAAUAUCUAUCUAGUAAAGCGAAAGUAGAAGAAAUAUGUUCAAAUUUGGCCGCCCUACAAGCAGAAACUGCUUGGCGCCCUCCACCUGGUUUACUCCAAGGGGUCUAACUCACGAGUCGGUCAUCCGAUUUUUGUCGAUCGGUAUUGUAAAUACCUUUUAUUUGACGUAUCACUGACCAGUGUAGUAUUGUAAUGUCCGGAGAUAUCUUCGAAAAACCGUAAAGCACUUAUUGGGCCACAGCUCGGGAGGGGUCGAUCCAAAAUCACUCAUCUUCGAAC